AUGAGGAUCACCAAACAAUGCAACCUGCCACUUUCUUUGGGUAAGCAUUAUCGCUCAAAUGUGUUGUGUGAUGUGGUUGACAUGGAUGCCAGCCAUGUUCUUCUUGGGAGGCCUUGGCAAUUUGAUGUGGAUACUACACAAAAGGGCAAGGAAAAUUCUUACUCUUUCAUUUGGAACAAGAGAAGGAUCAUUAUCUUACCAAACAAACCCGAAGGUAAUACCUCUAAGGAGGAGGGGAAAACUAUGUUAACUAUCUCCCAUACCUCUCAUGAGUUUAUGGAAGACUUGAAGGAAGCAGUUUGUGUGCUGCACUUGUUGUAA
RNAcentral lists this ribosomal RNA (321 nucleotides) under Triticum aestivum (bread wheat). Its description in RNAcentral is "partial small subunit ribosomal RNA". The record is from RNAcentral. Lineage: Eukaryota; Viridiplantae; Streptophyta; Magnoliopsida; Poales; Poaceae.